Molecule: ribosomal RNA, 252 nt
Filed under: uncultured bacterium
Lineage: Bacteria
Description: partial 16S ribosomal RNA
Rfam family: Bacterial small subunit ribosomal RNA
Source: RNAcentral
UACGGGGGGGCAAGCGUUGUUCGGAAUUACUGGGCGUAAAGGGUUUGUAGGUGGCUUGUUAAGUCAGACGUGAAAUCCCUCAGCUUAACUGGGGAACUGCGUCUGAUACUGGCGAGCUUGAGUGCAGGAGAGGAACGCGGAAUUCCAGGUGUAGCGGUGAAAUGCGUAGAUAUCUGGAGGAACACCGGUGGCGAAGGCGGGUCUCUGGGCAGUAACUGACGCUGAGGAGCGAAAGCGUGGGGAGCGAACAGG